AACGAACGCUGGCGGCAUGCCUAACACAUGCAAGUCGAACGAGACCUUCGGGUCUAGUGGUGCACGGGUGCGUAACGCGUGGGGACCUGCCCUUAGGUUCGGAAUAACUCCCCGAAAGGGGUGCUAAUACCGGAUAAUGUCUUCGGACCAAAGAUUUAUCGCCUUUGGAUGGGCCCGCGUUGGAUUAGCUAGUUGGUAGGGUAAAAGCCUACCAAGGCGACGAUCCAUAGCUGGUCUGAGAGGAUGAUCAGCCACACUGGGACUGAGACACGGCCCAGACUCCUACGGGAGGCAGCAGUGGGGAAUAUUGGACAAUGGGCGAAAGCCUGAUCCAGCAAUGCCGCGUGAGUGAUGAAGGCCUUAGGGUUGUAAAGCUCUUUUACCCGGGAUGAUAAUGACAGUACCGGGAGAAUAAGCUCCGGCUAACUCCGUG
Molecule: ribosomal RNA, 433 nt
Filed under: uncultured bacterium
Lineage: Bacteria
Description: partial 16S ribosomal RNA
Rfam family: Bacterial small subunit ribosomal RNA
Source: RNAcentral